UUGAGACACCGGUUCCCGUACGAUUACCGAAGUUAAGCAAUGUCGAAUCUGGUCAAUACCUAGAUGGGUGACGGUAUGGGAAUACCAGGUGCUGUAA
This is a non-coding RNA of Acanthosepion pharaonis, 97 nucleotides long. NCBI's taxonomy places the organism in Eukaryota, Metazoa, Mollusca, Cephalopoda, Sepiida, Sepiidae. The record is from the annotation of a GenBank genome assembly.